GCACAAGCAGUGGAGUAUGUGGUUUAAUUCGAAGCAACGCGAAGAACCUUACCAGGUCUUGACAUCCGAUGCAUAGCACAGAGAUGUGUGAAAUCCUUCGGGACAUCGAGACAGGUGGUGCAUGGUUGUCGUCAGCUCGUGUCGUGAGAUGUUGGGUUAAGUCCCGCAACGAGCGCAACCCUUAUUGCCAGUUACUACGUUAAGAGGACUCUGGCAGGACUGCCGUUGACAAAA
RNAcentral lists this ribosomal RNA (234 nucleotides) under uncultured bacterium. RNAcentral describes it as "partial 16S ribosomal RNA". It matches the Rfam family "Bacterial small subunit ribosomal RNA", at positions 923 to 1163 of the family's 1533-position model. The record is from RNAcentral.